AACCAACAGGGAUUGCCUUAGUAGCGGCGAGUGAAGCGGCAAGAGCUCAAAUUUGAAAUCUGGUACCUUCGGUGCCCGAGUUGUAAUUUGAAGAAAGCAAUCUUUGAUUUGGCCCUUGUCUAUGUUCCUUGGAACAGGACGUCACAGAGGGUGAGAAUCCCGUGCGAUGAGGUGUCCAUUUCUUUGUAAGAUGUUUUCGAAGAGUCGAGUUGUUUGGGAAUGCAGCUCAAAGUGGGUGGUAAAUUCCAUCUAAAGCUAAAUAUUGGCGAGAGACCGAUAGCGAACAAGUACUGUGAAGGAAAGAUGAAAAGAACUUUGAAAAGAGAGUGAAAAAGUACGUGAAAUUGUUGAAAGGGAAGGGUAUUCGAUCAGACUUGGUAUUUAGUUAUCAUUUCUCCUUGUGAGGGGUGCUCUAGCUUUUUACUGGGCCAGCAUCAGUUUUGGUGGCAAGAUAAUGACAGUUGAACGUGGCUCCUCGGAGUGUUAUAGCUUCUGUUGAUGUUGCCUACCGGGACUGAGGUCUGCGGCUUUGCCUAGGAUGCUGGCGUAAUGAUCUAAUACCGCCCGUCUUGAAACACCGACCA
RNAcentral lists this ribosomal RNA (584 nucleotides) under [Candida] sp. UWO(PS)00-149.2. Its description in RNAcentral is "LSU rRNA". It matches the Rfam family "Eukaryotic large subunit ribosomal RNA", at positions 63 to 668 of the family's 3401-position model. Lineage: Eukaryota; Fungi; Ascomycota; Saccharomycetes; Saccharomycetales. The record is from RNAcentral.